ACGCGUGGAACCUUACCAGGUCUUGACAUCCCACUGACCGCUAUGGAGACAUAGCUUUCCCUUCGGGGACAGUGGUGACAGGUGGUGCAUGGUUGUCGUCAGCUCGUGUCGUGAGAUGUUGGGUUAAGUCCCGCAACGAGCGCAACCCUUGUUCUUAGUUGCCAUCAUUUAGUUGGGCACUCUAAGGAGACUGCCGGUGACAAACCGGAGGAAGGUGGGGAUGACGUCAAAUCAUCAUGCCCCUUAUGACCUGGGCUACACACGUGCUACAAUGGACGGUACAAACGGUUGCCAACCCGCGAGGGGGAGCUAAUCCGAUAAAACCGUUCUCAGUUCGGAUUGUAGGCUGCAACUCGCCUACAUGAAGCCGGAAUCGCUAGUAAUCGCGGAUCAGCAUGCCGCGGUGAAUACGUUCCCGGGCCUUGCACUCACCGCCCGU
RNAcentral lists this ribosomal RNA (439 nucleotides) under uncultured bacterium. RNAcentral describes it as "bacterial SSU rRNA". It matches the Rfam family "Bacterial small subunit ribosomal RNA", at positions 959 to 1397 of the family's 1533-position model. The record is from RNAcentral.